This 392-nucleotide long non-coding RNA is filed under the name Hordeum vulgare. RNAcentral's name for it is "long non-coding RNA (HVUL_LNC015577)". Lineage: Eukaryota; Viridiplantae; Streptophyta; Magnoliopsida; Poales; Poaceae. The record is from RNAcentral.
UUCUUGCUGUGUUGAACACCCUCUCACGAAGUGGGAGGGGGGUAUAUAUAGUGGGGAGACUAAAACAACCGUUGGGGUCACUUAAGUCUAACAGUGGUCGGACAUCCGGCAGUUCUCGGAUGUCCGGACGCCCACAAGGGGUCGGACGUCGGAGAGGGGUCGGUCGUCCGAAGAAAGUAUAUAUAUCAGGAACCACUGUGUAGUCGAACAGGGACCGGACGUCCGGAGGAAGCCGGAUGUCCGAGAUAUUGGCUCUGUUCAAGGGCACCGGAUUCCCAAAGGGGGUCGGACGUCCGGCCCUCGGACGACAGGAGGAGGCCGGAAGUCCGAGUUAUUUGACUCAAAUUUCUCUUGUGCAAGGUUCCGGUUUUCCGAAGGAGGUCGGACGUCCG